Archocentrus centrarchus (flier cichlid) is the source of this 266-nucleotide long non-coding RNA. RefSeq lists it as uncharacterized. Lineage: Eukaryota; Metazoa; Chordata; Actinopteri; Cichliformes; Cichlidae. The transcript has 3 exons. The record is from RefSeq and is a predicted model, not a curated record.
CCUCCAUAAACCUUUAAUGGGAAACAGCUGGAGGUCCUUCAUCAACCACCUGAUCAGAAACUAACCAGGAUGACGGCCGGAUGUGAACAGCUGAUGUCUAAAUAGGUGCAGGGAUGGAUCUCCGGGGACGAGUGCUGACUACUGUGGUUUGAACAUCCAAGGCUUUGUGAUAAGGAAAUAACUUCCCCGAGCUGACACAUGAUGUCGCCUUUGUUGGUCUCCAGCAAGAAGAUGGUGGAAGUUGGAUGAGUUUCAAUAGUUGGACC